Molecule: ribosomal RNA, 497 nt
Filed under: uncultured bacterium
Lineage: Bacteria
Description: partial 16S ribosomal RNA
Rfam family: Bacterial small subunit ribosomal RNA
Source: RNAcentral
GACGAACGCUGGCGGCGUGCCUAAUACAUGCCAGUUGAGCGAUGAAGAUUGGUGCUUGCACCAAUUUGAAGAGCAGCGAACGGGUGAGUAACGCGUGGGGAAUCUGCCUUUGAGCGGGGGACAACAUUUGGAAACGAAUGCUAAUACCGCAUAAUAACUUUAAACAUAAGUUUUAAGUUUGAAAGAUGCAAUUGCAUCACUCAAAGAUGAUCCCGCGUUGUAUUAGCUAGUUGGUGAGGUAAAGGCUCACCAAGGCGAUGAUACAUAGCCGACCUGAGAGGGUGAUCGGCCACAUUGGGACUGAGACACGGCCCAAACUCCUACGGGAGGCAGCAGUAGGGAAUCUUCGGCAAUGGACGAAAGUCUGACCGAGCAACGCCGCGUGAGUGAAGAAGGUUUUCGGAUCGUAAAACUCUGUUGGUAGAGAAGAACGUUGGUGAGAGUGGAAAGCUCAUCAAGUGACGGUAACUACCCAGAAAGGGACGGCUAUCUACGUG